AGAUGGCGACCGGCGCACGGGUGAGUAACACGUAUCCAACCUACCGAUAACUCUGGAAUAGCCUUUCGAAAGAAAGAUUAAUACCCGAUGGCAUAGUUCUUCCGCAUGGUAGAACUAUUAAAGAAUUUCGGUCAUCGAUGGGGAUGCGUUCCAUUAGGUUGUUGGCGGGGUAACGGCCCACCAAGCCUUCGAUGGAUAGGGGUUCUGAGAGGAAGGUCCCCCACAUUGGAACUGAGACACGGUCCAA
RNAcentral lists this ribosomal RNA (247 nucleotides) under uncultured bacterium. RNAcentral describes it as "partial 16S ribosomal RNA". It matches the Rfam family "Bacterial small subunit ribosomal RNA", at positions 86 to 334 of the family's 1533-position model. The record is from RNAcentral.